AACACAAGUAAAUUGCAAGAAAUGUAUAUGUAGCAGUGUGAACUGUAUUGCUAAUUCCAUCGGAAGAAUGUACAUGGAGCCAGCAACAAAGAAUAAAGACACACAUGUACACAAUUCGUAGAAAACACUAUCACUGUGACACUGUCAUUGUCUGCAUAUACGUACAAAUUACAAUAUUUUACAACAUGUACUGUACUGUAUUGUCUCCUAACGGCGCCCGUUUUUCGAUUCAAUCGGCCAAAUCCAAGCCCUGAUUGAACCCAGAAAAACUCUAAAGAUUGAAAAGAAUGCAGUUAAACGCUUAACUAACACACCUUAAACCGAUCUUGGCCCA
RNAcentral lists this long non-coding RNA (334 nucleotides) under Triticum aestivum (bread wheat). RNAcentral describes it as "long non-coding RNA (TAES_LNC026175)". Lineage: Eukaryota; Viridiplantae; Streptophyta; Magnoliopsida; Poales; Poaceae. The record is from RNAcentral.